Molecule: transfer-messenger RNA, 381 nt
Filed under: Bacilli
Lineage: Bacteria; Bacillati; Bacillota
Also listed under: 1 other name
Description: CAG-433 sp900320735 Standard tmRNA
Rfam family: transfer-messenger RNA
About the family: Bacterial tmRNA, also known as 10Sa RNA or SsrA, is named for its dual tRNA and mRNA-like properties. Its role is to liberate the mRNA from a stalled ribosome. To accomplish this part of the tmRNA is used as a reading frame that ends in a translation stop signal.
Source: RNAcentral
GGGGCUGUAUAUGGUUUCGACAGGGAUAUUGAUUUUUAAGUACGCAAGUCGGAGAAGCACGUUACGCUUAAAAUCAAUUAAAUGGAAACAAAAUUAAAAAUGCAGUUGCUUCAUUAUUCAGAAGUAAUAGUGUAGCUUUAGCCUAAUUUAAAGGAACUGUAACUUUUUUAUAUUCUUUUCUUGUGGGAAUUUAAAAAAGGUCGAUUUUAGCAAGAUAUAUUAUUAUUUAGCUUAAGAAUAAUAAUGAAUAAUUUUAAGCUUACUAAUCUAUAGGUUGUUAGUUACUUAUAUAGAUUAGGACAUAUUAUUAACUAACUAAACUUGUAGAGGCUUAUUAAAAAAUAUUUUUGGACAGGAGUUCGACUCUCCUCAGCUCCACCA